This 489-nucleotide ribosomal RNA is filed under the name uncultured bacterium. RNAcentral describes it as "bacterial SSU rRNA". It matches the Rfam family "Bacterial small subunit ribosomal RNA", at positions 341 to 847 of the family's 1533-position model. The record is from RNAcentral.
ACGGGAGGCAGCAGUGGGGAAUAUUGCACAAUGGGGGAAACCCUGAUGCAGCGACGCCGCGUGGAGGAAGAAAGUCUUCGGAUUGUAAACUCCUGUUGUUGGGGAAGAUAAUGACGGUACCCAACAAGGAAGUGACGGCUAACUACGUGCCAGCAGCCGCGGUAAAACGUAGGUCACAAGCGUUGUCCGGAAUUACUGGGUGUAAAGGGAGCGCAGGCGGGAAGACAAGUUGGAAGUGAAAUCUAUGGGCUCAACCCAUAAACCGCUUUCAAAACUGUUUUUCUUGAGUAGUGCAGAGGUAGGCGGAAUUCCCGGUGUAGCGGUGGAAUGCGUAGAUAUCGGGAGGAACACCAGUGGCGAAGGCGGCCUACUGGGCACCAACUGACGCUGAGGCUCGAAAGUGUGGGUAGCAAACAGGAUUAGAUACCCUGGUAGUCCACACCGUAAACGAUGAUUACUAGGUGUUGGAGGAUUGACCCCUUCAGUGCC